This is a long non-coding RNA of Empidonax traillii (willow flycatcher), 527 nucleotides long. RefSeq lists it as uncharacterized. The transcript has 3 exons. NCBI's taxonomy places the organism in Eukaryota, Metazoa, Chordata, Aves, Passeriformes, Tyrannidae. The record is from RefSeq and is a predicted model, not a curated record.
AAGUCUGAGGACAGGUGGUCUUUUCCUGAUCCAAAAUGUGCUAGAGCCAUAAGAAAUGAACCCCAGCUUCUCAUCCACUACCAGGCCAGAGGCAACUGCUCCACGCAGCUCAGCCAGCCUUCGAGCCCUUCCUGGGCAUGGGCAGGACCCCAGCAGCUUGCCAACAACGCACCUCAAAGCCAGCGCUGGAUGAAACACCAACACUGCAGCAACACCAGGGGACUUUCCUUUUCCAAGCCGGCUUGUGGAAGGUGAUGGAUGGGCAGCAGUGGAGGCAGAAAUCUUCCUGUUAUACUCACAGGGCAGGUACUGAAUCAGCAGCCAUGGUGGCUACACAAGCUGCACCUCUCUGAACAAGCCUGAGACAAAAAAAAAGAGGUGUUUUGGUGUAUCCUCAUUCUCUACAGCACCUUCCAGCUCCUACAGCCACCUCACCUCUCACUGGUUAACAGGCUUCAUUCUUUUGAGGGAGAAAGUUGAGCCUUGGUUGGUCCUUCAUGCAGAUGGGAAUAUGACUUGGCCAGCCU